Molecule: small RNA, 90 nt
Filed under: Klebsiella pneumoniae
Lineage: Bacteria; Pseudomonadati; Pseudomonadota; Gammaproteobacteria; Enterobacterales; Enterobacteriaceae
Description: partial RtT sRNA
Rfam family: RtT RNA
About the family: This family represents a bacterial cis-regulatory element known as RtT RNA. The exact function of RtT is unknown although it is thought that it may be involved in changing the cellular response in relation to amino acid starvation.
Source: RNAcentral
AUAUUCUGCCCACGGGGAAGGAUGAGAAGCUUCGACUAAGGUUCGACUCGAGCGAAGCGAGAGAACGUUGCCGCAGGCAACGGCCCGAAG